RNAcentral lists this ribosomal RNA (396 nucleotides) under uncultured bacterium. RNAcentral's name for it is "bacterial SSU rRNA". It matches the Rfam family "Bacterial small subunit ribosomal RNA", at positions 28 to 428 of the family's 1533-position model. The record is from RNAcentral.
GACGAACGCUGGCGGCGUGCUUAACACAUGCAAGUCGAGCGGUAAGGCCCUUUCGGGGGUACACGAGCGGCGAACGGGUGAGUAACACGUGGGUGACCUGCCCUCGGCUCUGGGAUAAGCCUGGGAAACUGGGUCUAAUACCGGAUAUGACUCCAUGACGCAUGUUGUGGGGUGGAAAGCCUUGUGCGGCUGAGGAUGGGCCCGCGGCCUAUCAGCUUGUUGGUGGGGUGANGGCCUACCAAGGCGACGACGGGUAGCCGGCCUGAGAGGGCGACCGGCCACACUGGGACUGAGACACGGCCCAGACUCCUACGGGAGGCAGCAGUGGGGAAUCUUGCGCAAUGGGCGAAAGCCUGACGCAGCGACGCCGCGUGAGGGAUGACGGCCUCGGUGUAA